This 61-nucleotide transfer RNA is filed under the name Orosius sp. Its description in RNAcentral is "tRNA-Ala". The record is from RNAcentral. Lineage: Eukaryota; Metazoa; Arthropoda; Insecta; Hemiptera; Cicadellidae.
AGGGUUAUAUUUAAUUAUAAUAUUUGAUUUGCAGUCGAAAGGUACCUAAGGGUUAACCUUU